This 497-nucleotide ribosomal RNA is filed under the name uncultured bacterium. Its description in RNAcentral is "partial 16S ribosomal RNA". It matches the Rfam family "Bacterial small subunit ribosomal RNA", at positions 28 to 507 of the family's 1533-position model. The record is from RNAcentral.
GAUGAACGCUGGCGGCGUGCCUAAUACAUGCAAGUCGAGCGAACAGACGAGGAGCUUGCUCCUCUGACGUUAGCGGCGGACGGGUGAGUAACACGUGGAUAACCUACCUAUAAGACUGGGAUAACUUCGGGAAACCGGAGCUAAUACCGGAUAAUAUAUUGAACCGCAUGGUUCAAUAGUGAAAGACGGUUUUGCUGUCACUUAUAGAUGGAUCCGCGCCGCAUUAGCUAGUUGGUAAGGUAACGGCUUACCAAGGCAACGAUGCGUAGCCGACCUGAGAGGGUGAUCGGCCACACUGGAACUGAGACACGGUCCAGACUCCUACGGGAGGCAGCAGUAGGGAAUCUUCCGCAAUGGGCGAUAGCCUGACGGAGCAACGCCGCGUGAGUGAUGAAGGUCUUCGGAUCGUAAAACUCUGUUAUUAGGGAAGAACAAAUGUGUAAGUAACUAUGCACGUCAUGACGGUACCUAAUCAGAAAGCCACGGCUAACUACGUG